UUAAAACAAAACAAAAGUGCAAAACAAAGCUGCUUAAAACAAAAUGAAGACUAUGCUGGGGCCUCCUGACCAUGAAUCUGGUUAAAUUGGUCUGAGAU
Long non-coding RNA from Pipistrellus kuhlii (Kuhl's pipistrelle), 98 nucleotides. RefSeq lists it as uncharacterized. NCBI's taxonomy places the organism in Eukaryota, Metazoa, Chordata, Mammalia, Chiroptera, Vespertilionidae. The transcript has 3 exons. The record is from RefSeq and is a predicted model, not a curated record.